AAUCAUUGGUUAUGUCAACGUUAUUGACAAUGUGAAAGACAUUUCAGCCUUUGAUAUUUGACCAAAUAAGUAAAAUAAAGAGAAGAAAGUCUUACAUAAACAAUGUUGAGUGCAAUUUAGCUUGAAGAUGAAGACACCAAGCACUUGAACCAAAAUAAUUGUUCAGUUUCAUGAAGUAAAAAGGACUAAAAAGAUCUACAAACACUGCAGCUCAGCCUCUCACCGCCCACACCACACCUCAGCCUAUUUAGGUCCAAAAUCCCUAAAUAGGCUAUUUUGGAGUAAAAUUUUCUUUUCUAUUUAGGUCCAAAUCCCGGAUCCCUAAAUCAAUUCCAACUUGUCACAAUUGCACCUCAGCCUCUCACCGCCCACACCAC
Molecule: long non-coding RNA, 377 nt
Filed under: Solanum tuberosum (potato)
Lineage: Eukaryota; Viridiplantae; Streptophyta; Magnoliopsida; Solanales; Solanaceae
Description: long non-coding RNA (STUB_LNC008812)
Source: RNAcentral